AGACACCUUUCCUGGGAAGAGAGCUGACAAACCUUCUAUGGUAAGGGGUGAACAUCCUUGGGAAGCCACAGAGAGCAAGGCGCAGUUUUUCAUUGAUCACCACCUUCAAGAUGCUCCCAGAAUCGUGCUGUCUAGGAAGCCAUUUAAACUGGUGAGAAGCCAUCCUCUCUUGAAUGGGGGCUCCCACUGUACAUCUGGCACCCACUUCACAGGGGGGGAUGGUGGAACACGCUGACUGGUCUGGGCUAUUCAAGAUCCAUGAACUGGAAGAUGCUUUCUUAUAACUCAGAGAAAAGAGAUGAAAAUGAAUCAAAGAACAGGAAGGAGACAAGCUCAGGAGAGUCACCCUAAGAAGGACGUGUGGAAGACUUGACUGAUUGGAGGAUCAAAAUGUGUCGGGGGAAGGUGUACAAGGAGGAGUAAGGACACAGAUGUCCUGACUUCACACAGUGGGGGAUUAGAAGCCACCAUCAAAUACAGAUGAAACAGGAAUAAAAGUAGUAGUACAUUACUUAAGCUUUAAAAGGGUAAGACUCCUGGGAAUUUGGAAGCUGAGACUUGAGGAGCAGAGGCAUCUAGCUGUGUAAACACAGAGUUUCAGUGGCAGCACCCUAAAUGCUUAGCUGAUAGAUCCGGAAUUAAAUACAGACCUAGAAACUGGAGUUGGAAAACUUCCUGGCAGCACUCCUUCCCUGCCAUCCCGGUGAUCCCCUUCUGGAUGGAGGGCGUGGAGCUCAGCACAUUCACGUCUGCAGUUCUCAGAGAACCAAGUGUUAAGGAAUGUCAGGGAAGGAAGAAGGCAGCCAGCCAGGAAGGGGAGGUCCUGGCCUGAGCACGCCAGGCAUAGAGGGAUAGAGGGUAGCGAGGAAACUGCACCUGUCUCCAAUCCUCGACCCCGGCCCCGAAACACGACAUUGGCUGAAACAGAUUAAAAGCAUAAAAUGGCACAAAGAAAUGGGAGAAGGUUGGCCUCUGGUUGGGCAAACAUGAGGGCAUGAAGAUGUAUAGUGUCCCACACGGGAGGAAGCCCUUGCCGGGCCCCUCAGGAUUUAUAACAAGCUCACCUGAAGGAGAAACUUCAGGGGCACUUACACCAUCAGAUACCUAGAAAGGAGCUGUCAUUUCCUCACUGAAGAGUUUGCAAGCAGAUGGUAAAAGGGGUUUAAUUUGAAAACACUGAAACAUCGUGUUCACUCAAAACCAUGACAAUUGCAGUUUUAUUGUCUCCACUCAGGAAAAUGUGUGUCUGGAUCAUCUUGUGGCCCGAAUGGGGAGAAAAGCACUAUUCACAAUAGCCAAGAUAUGGAAUCAACAUAAGGGUCCACAGCAGAUGAAUGAAUAAAGAGGAUGUGAUGCAGUAUUCCAAAGCAGGAGAUUCACUGAAAAAGAUGUUUAAGAAGUUGCUGAUGAAGAAAAGUUCAGGAUUCACAGCUCCAUCCAAAGGGAAUAGCCACUUUUCUCAUUUUGAGAUAUGACUACUAACAAGUAUUAUUCUGCAUCUUCAGCCAGGCUGUGGAAGGCCCCAUUCUUUCUGUAACACAGAUGUUCAAUUGGAAUUUUCC
Molecule: long non-coding RNA, 1562 nt
Filed under: Pan troglodytes (chimpanzee)
Lineage: Eukaryota; Metazoa; Chordata; Mammalia; Primates; Hominidae
Description: lincRNA
Source: RNAcentral